ACUUUAAUUGAAGAGUUUGAUCAUGGCUCAGAUUGAACGCUGGCGGCAGGCCUAACACAUGCAAGUCGAGCGGUAACAUUUCAAAAGCUUGCUUUUGAAGAUGACGAGCGGCGGACGGGUGAGUAAUGCCUGGGAAUUUGCCCAUUUGUGGGGGAUAACAGUUGGAAACGAC
RNAcentral lists this ribosomal RNA (172 nucleotides) under Shewanella algae. RNAcentral describes it as "partial 16S ribosomal RNA". It matches the Rfam family "Bacterial small subunit ribosomal RNA", at positions 1 to 160 of the family's 1533-position model. Lineage: Bacteria; Pseudomonadati; Pseudomonadota; Gammaproteobacteria; Alteromonadales; Shewanellaceae. The record is from RNAcentral.